This 200-nucleotide ribosomal RNA is filed under the name uncultured eukaryote. RNAcentral describes it as "partial 18S ribosomal RNA". It matches the Rfam family "Eukaryotic small subunit ribosomal RNA", at positions 588 to 786 of the family's 1831-position model. The record is from RNAcentral.
GCUCCAGUAGCGUAUAUUAAAGUUGUUGCAGUUAAAAAGCUCGUAGUUGGAUUUCUGGUUUGACAAAACUGACCGCUGCUUUUUUCGCGGUGAGUGUCGGGAAUUGUCUACCAUCCUUCUAGAAAACUGUCUACCUCACUGGGCCGGACACGCGAUCUAGAACUUUUACUUUGAAGAAAUUAGAGUGUUCAAAGCAGGCU